Long non-coding RNA from Suricata suricatta (meerkat), 1541 nucleotides. RefSeq lists it as uncharacterized. The record is from RefSeq and is a predicted model, not a curated record. The transcript has 2 exons. NCBI's taxonomy places the organism in Eukaryota, Metazoa, Chordata, Mammalia, Carnivora, Herpestidae.
GUGAGCUUUUUAAGCAAGCUAGCUUCUCUGAGCUACUGUAUCUUCAUUGCUACCUCACAAAGUAAGAGAACAUACCCAGAAAUUCUUUGUAGACUGUAAGGUGCCAUACAAAGGUAAGAUGCUGGGAACCCUCUCGGCUGUUAGAGACGGUGCUAAGGGAAAGACAUGGACAAAUAAUUCAGGUUUUUGUGGAGAACAAGUUCUAAAAGCAGGCAAAUUUACAAGAGAUCUUGAGUAGAGCAAGGGGGCCACAGGGGACCUAACCACCUCCCGGAAGUGGGAGGAGCCAAGGUGAGGCGGGGCCAUCAUCACAAGGCUGAGCAGAAGGCAAUUCCCUCCCACCGGUAGGCACUGUUCUGCAUUAAUUCCGAGGAUUUUCUUAAAUUGUUUUUCCUUCCUGACAAAACCAUCUCAGAGUUCAAACACAAAACAAAAUCAAUUACUUAAAACUCAACACGAUGAUCAGUAAGCAUUUAAAUCAAUAAAAGCACUAAUUUAAAGAGAUCUGACUGGUUCGUGCCCUGAAGGAGGCAGCGGCUACAAACUCCAGGCUGAUGAGAAAUCUCAAUGAUCUGGAAAAUGAGGUGGUUGACCUCCUUGAUCUCUACGGCUACUUGUGGCUCUAAAACCCCCAGAUUACAUGAUUUCCCGUGAACUCUUACAACUCCUGAAAUUCCUCCCAGCUCCCCUCCUGAUGGGUCCUACAGACAAUACUUUCUUCACACUCUCCUUAUCCUCAGUUCUUCCCCACACAGAGCCAGGUUCACCUUGGUCUAAAAUUAAAAAUUUCAAGGCUCCCCCAGGACACGUGUGUGGCUGCGCACGCAUUCAUUCAAAUAGGGCUGAUUCUAUGGGCUCCCAGGCUUUGGAAACUGACAAACAGAUAAAAGAAAGUCCUGUUCUCAAGAGUAAUGCAACAGGCUCGGAUCCAGCAUCUCAAUACAGUGCGUCCUACGCGAAGAAAAGGCUGAGCAGAAUGGCUGGAGAAGGGAGCGACCCCCAAACGAUGAGCUGUUUUCCAGGCAUCACACAGUCCUGAGAAAAAAAUAAGUGGCUGUGAGGCAAGAGGGGGAACUUCCCAGGAAAUGAAAAGCCACCCGGCCUUCCCUGAGAGGCAGAAGACAGAACCACAUAGCAACUUGCCCUACAAGGGAGUCCAAGGAGAUUAGGCCCUCGGGGAGAAACCACUGCUUCGGAAAUAAACACAAAUUAACUCACCCUGGGUAACAACUGAUGCUGGGUAUGGAGCAAAUCUCUCUCUCUCCCUUCAGGGGAAAGGGCAGAAGCAGUAUUAGACCCACUUCUUUGAGAGAGCCUCAGGCAGUAGUGUGACACUGAGGGCCCAAGAGGCCUGGUCUGAACAUGAACUCUACCACAGACUACGUGUGCCAUCAGGGCAUUAGGAUCGUACCUAAUUUCUCCCUAUAAAAUGGAGAAACUCAUGCAAAGCUGCUUAAGGAUUAGAAAGAUUUACCUAUAGAACUUAGCACAGUACUGGGCUCCAAAGAGAAGCUUAAUAAAUUGUGGCUACUGUAAUAUUA